GAGUACAGCGGCGAACGGGUGAGUAACACGUAAGCAACCUGCCCCUAAAUCCGGGAUAACGCUGGCGACGCGGGGCUAAUACCGGAUGUGGUUGAAAGGUCGCAUGAUUUUUCAAUUAAAGGUGACCUCUUCUUGAAAGUUACUGUUUAGGGAUGGGCUUGCGGACCAUUAGCUUGUUGGUGAGGUAACGGCUCACCAAGGCUGCGAUGGUUAGCCGACCUGAGAGGGUGAUCGGCCACAUUGGGACUGAGAGGCGGNCCANACUCCUACGGGAGGCAGCAGUAGGGAAUCCCGCGCAAUGGACUUAAGUCUGACGCAGCAACGCCGCGUGAGGGAUGAAGGCCUUCGGGUUGUAAACCUCUGUUGAGUGAGAAGAAAAGCAUGCGGGAUAAUACUCCGCGUGUCUGACGGUAUCACUCGAGGAAGCCCCGGCUAACUACGUGCCAGCAGCCGCGGUAAUACGUAGGGGGCAAGCGUUGUUCGGAAUUACUGGGUGUAAAGGGAGCGUAGGUGGAAAGGUAAGUCACGAGUGAAAGAUACCGGGCUUAAACCGUAGUCCGCUUUUAAUACUGUCUUCCU
RNAcentral lists this ribosomal RNA (579 nucleotides) under uncultured organism. Its description in RNAcentral is "bacterial SSU rRNA". It matches the Rfam family "Bacterial small subunit ribosomal RNA", at positions 88 to 642 of the family's 1533-position model. The record is from RNAcentral.